This is a long non-coding RNA of Helianthus annuus (common sunflower), 1783 nucleotides long. RefSeq lists it as uncharacterized. NCBI's taxonomy places the organism in Eukaryota, Viridiplantae, Streptophyta, Magnoliopsida, Asterales, Asteraceae. The transcript has 5 exons. The record is from RefSeq and is a predicted model, not a curated record.
UUGUAUUCCCUUUCUAAACCCUAGCCUCCCCUUCCUCUUCUACAUUAGUCAUCGCAGCCAUCACUAAAUAAGAUUAAGAUCUCGAUCAACCAUUACAGGUAUGUUCUUGAUCUUCGGGUCCGUAUUUUCAUUCUUGGAUAUCCAGCUUUUUACUCGAUCUUAUAAACAAAUAGACGCACACAUCAAAAACCCUAAAAGCUCCCACGUUCUUCUUAAAUCGCCUGACAAAGGAUUCCAAAAUCAAACCGAUUCACUUCCAGAGGAAGAUGGUGACGGUGGUGGUCACCUGAAGAGGGAAGACGACAACGACAUGGGUUGACAAAUGGGAAAGUGCUUCGUUUGAGAGAGUUAGAAGAUGUAUCAGUUGAAUAGAGUUAGAAGAUGUAUCCGUUGAAAGAAGAGGCUGCACACUUUAUUCAUGCUCAUGUGUAAGUCCUAACCUUCAUAUUCAAGAGUGGGCAAAAGAAGCAUCAGAAAUUUCUAAAUGCCAGCCAAAUGUAUGAUGUCUUUCUAUGCUUCUUUAGUGAGAUGUUUUAGUAGAGCUGGCAUGAUGUGUUUGGUCGGGUUAGUUGGACAAGGUUGAGAUAUGUUGAAGUUUUGUUUUGUAUUCUCUUAAUGUUGAUGUAGUUCUUCUGGUAUUAAUCAUGUAUAAUUUUCUUCUUCUUUUGUUUUUAUCAGAUCAAUAAAUGAUAACUAACAAAUCAUUCAUUUCAGAUUUGCUUCUUUGGCAAUUCCUUACUUCGGUUUGUAAAGCAGAUUAUAUUACCAUUCGCCAUGGGUUCAUUUAUGUAAGUCCAAUUUCUUUCACCAAAAAUAUAUUAUUUCAAAAUAGUUUAUGUUAGAGCUGACAAAAUGUGCAAGUUGGGGAAACACUUUUUUUUGGAGAUUUAAUGUAUCAAUGUGAUAAAGCUUUUUAAUAGUUUUAAUGAAAAUAUAAUCUUUUAAUAAAUUUUAAAAUGAUUCAGAGGUUUUAACAGCUAAAAACUAUGCUUUGUAUUUUAUCUAACUCAUUAGAGUGUAAUGGUUAAAACAUAACCCGACUCAACCCAUUUGUUACAAAAAAGGCUCGAUAUUUUGCUGCAAGCAGGUCUGGUCCAUGUUUCAGUUUUGGUGAACUUGGGAUAAAUGAUAUGAUUAAUUCCAUCUCAACCUUUCAACUUGUUUGAUGGUGUUAACAUAUUGAAAAUAAUUCUUGUGAAUGGUUGUUAUAAUAAUGUUGUAAAUCUUAAUAGAUGAUUGUGUGAAGAUUUUUUAUAGAACUGCUUUGACCCGUUAUCUAGAUUAAAGCAAAUAUUAUGAAGUCAGACAAAGUUGUCAAGGGUUCUAGAAGCACAAAAAAAUCACAUAAAAGAUCAUACAAAAAGGUCACUUAUUUUGACUUCAAAAGUCAAUACCUGAAGCUCAAAGUGGGUUGCAUUACAAUGGUGAAUUCCUUCAACACUACCCUUAGCGAGUACACAAUUGAUCAUUACUGAGAGUCUAAGAUCAGCCAUGAUGCUCCCACUUGAUAAAGUCAGCUCUUAGUUGUGACAUAUCCACAGAUCUUGGGAUGUGUUGACUGGAUGGGCUCAAGUCAAAGUAAGUUGGCAUGUUGAUUGAAACUUUAGUUAUGAACCAUUUAGGAUUGAACUUUAUGUAAAUUGCUUAUGUUUUGAAAACGAUGUGGUAGAUAUUCUAUUUUACUACAUGAAGCAUUGUUUUAUGAUGAAUUUGAAAACUACAGUGGAUAUAUACAAUUUGUCAUUUUGCAAGCAUUUGUGUUAAAUAUGAAUGAAUAUAUAUG